UNCACAUUAGGUGUGGUGACUGUCAUAUGG
Molecule: non-coding RNA, 30 nt
Filed under: Homo sapiens (human)
Lineage: Eukaryota; Metazoa; Chordata; Mammalia; Primates; Hominidae
Source: RNAcentral